UACGGAGGGGGCUAGCGUUGUUCGGAAUUACUGGGCGUAAAGCGCACGUAGGCGGCUUUGUAAGUUAGAGGUGAAAGCCCGGAGCUCAACUCCGGAAUAGCCUUUAAGACUGCGUCGCUAGAACGUUGGAGAGGUAAGUGGAAUUCCGAGUGUAGAGGUGAAAUUCGUAGAUAUUCGGAAGAACACCAGUGGCGAAGGCGGCUCACUGGCCCGGUACUGACGCUGAGGUGCGAAAGCGUGGGGAGCAAACAGG
Molecule: ribosomal RNA, 253 nt
Filed under: uncultured bacterium
Lineage: Bacteria
Description: partial 16S ribosomal RNA
Rfam family: Bacterial small subunit ribosomal RNA
Source: RNAcentral